UUGACCUCGGAUCAAGUAGGGAUACC
Molecule: ribosomal RNA, 26 nt
Filed under: Entodesmium rude
Lineage: Eukaryota; Fungi; Ascomycota; Dothideomycetes; Pleosporales; Phaeosphaeriaceae
Also listed under: 2 other names
Description: partial 28S ribosomal RNA
Source: RNAcentral